This 465-nucleotide ribosomal RNA is filed under the name Vreelandella stevensii. RNAcentral describes it as "partial 16S ribosomal RNA". It matches the Rfam family "Bacterial small subunit ribosomal RNA", at positions 338 to 795 of the family's 1533-position model. Lineage: Bacteria; Pseudomonadati; Pseudomonadota; Gammaproteobacteria; Oceanospirillales; Halomonadaceae. The record is from RNAcentral.
CCUACGGGAGGCAGCAGUGGGGAAUAUUGGACAAUGGGCGAAAGCCUGAUCCAGCCAUGCCGCGUGUGUGAAGAAGGCCUUCGGGUUGUAAAGCACUUUCAGUGGGGAAGAAAGCCUUGGGGCUAAUACCCUCGAGGAAGGACAUCACCCACAGAAGAAGUACCGGCUAACUCCGUGCCAGCAGCCGCGGUAAUACGGAGGGUGCGAGCGUUCCUCGGAAUUACUGGGCGUAAAGCGCGCGUAGGCGGUCUGAUAAGCCGGUUGUGAAAGCCCCGGGCUCAACCUGGGAACGGCAUCCGGAACUGUCAGGCUAGAGUGCAGGAGAGGAAGGUAGAAUUCCCGGUGUAGCGGUGAAAUGCGUAGAGAUCGGGAGGAAUACCAGUGGCGAAGGCGGCCUUCUGGACUGACACUGACGCUGAGGUGCGAAAGCGUGGGUAGACAACAGGAUUAGAUACCCCUGUAGUC